Molecule: ribosomal RNA, 433 nt
Filed under: uncultured organism
Description: bacterial SSU rRNA
Rfam family: Bacterial small subunit ribosomal RNA
Source: RNAcentral
AUUGAACGCUAGCGGCAUGGCUAAAGCAUGCAAGUCGAACGUGCCCGCAAGGGCAAGUGGCGGAAGGGUGAGUAAAGCGAUUGAACGUGCCCCAAGGUGGGGGAUAGCCGCGGGAAACUGCGGGUAAUACCCCAUGUCCUCUCCGGAGAAAAGGUUUACCGCCUUGGGAUCGGCGAUCGUCCUAUCAGGUAGUUGGCGGGGUAAUGGCCCACCAAGCCGAAGACGGGUACCAGGUGUGAGAGCACGACCUGGCACAUCGGGACUGAGACACUGCCCGGACUCCUACGGGAGGCUGCAGCGACGAAUCUUCCGCAAUGGGCGCAAGCCUGACGGAGCAAUGCCGCGUGUGGGAUGAAGCGGCUACGCCGUGUAAACCACUGUCAGGGGACGGAACCAAUGAUUGUCCCCAAAGGAAGGGCCGGCUAACCCUGUG